UGUGAGCGCUCCAUUGGCCAAUCAGAAGCUUGAUGCCAACUGGCCGUGUAUGUUUCAGGGUGGCGCUGGGUAGUUCAUUUCGUCAGAGGGGAAUACAGUGUUGUUAUUCAAGAUGCAGUUCAUGCUUCUGUUUAGUCGACAAGGCAAGCUCAGGCUUCAGAAAUGGUACGUGCCUUUGUCUGAUAAGGAGAAAAAGAAGAUCACAAGAGAGUUGGUGCAGACGGUCCUGGCUCGAAAGCCCAAAAUGUGCAGCUUUCUGGAGUGGAGAGACCUCAAGGUUGUAUAUAAGAGAUACGCCAGCCUGUACUUCUGCUGUGCCAUAGAGGACCAGGACAACGAGCUGAUCACACUGGAGAUCAUCCACAGAUAUGUGGAGCUGCUGGACAAAUACUUUGGCAGUGUUUGUGAGCUGGACAUUAUUUUCAACUUUGAGAAGGCUUACUUCAUUCUGGAUGAGUUCUUGCUGGGUGGGGAAGCUCAGGAGACGUCCAAAAAGAAUGUGUUGAAGGCCAUUGAGCAGGCUGACCUGCUACAGGAGAGCCAGAAUGAAGACUGGGGAAGUUUGCCAAAUGAGGAGCUCUUGUAAUGGGCCUAGAGUCCAUCCAUGCCUCCAUCCAGGCAAUUUGGUAACUACUAGACUGGUGCAGUCAGUCAGUCAGCAUGGGUUUCCAGUUGUGCGUGCCGUGAACUACCUCUGCAUGUUCUUCUGUCGGUAUUGACUGUGUCUCAUAACUCUGAGUGAAAAACAUGACACAGCGUAACAACAGGCAUGAACUCAAACUGGAAUGUUCAGAACAUGUCUGGAUACACGCAGUUUCACUAACAGGCGGCAUAAUCUAACACUUGCAUUGUACAUUAUUGUAGUAGAUUAUUUAUUUGAAUUUCCAUUUACAUGGAUGCAACUUCGUUUUGUUUUUAAGAAGUCACUCUUUUAAAAAUACAUUUCCAACUUUAAUUAUUACUAUUUUCAUGGAUAAGUGAAAGAGUUAUGCUGCCUGUGUGAAGACCAGCCUGUAGUUUUACUAACCGCACCGAAUGGAAAUGCUCAGAUGAAUGAUUCUGUAUGUCUUUAUUAUAAAUGGUAGAAAAGGAAUAACAAUAACCCUAACAUUACGUUACAUGUGGAAGUAUUUUACAUUGACUAAUAUUCAUUCCGCAGGUUUUUGUACGUGGUGUUAUUUGACUUUAAAAUGACCAUUUUGUCCAUCCAUUACACAAACAUCUUAUACACCACUUGUUGAAAAAUUUGACCAAACAUUAGGGAAUUCUGCAACUCACCAUUGCACCCUGGUGUUUUAAAAGUUCAAAUAAUUAAACAUACUAUACGAGCAAAAAAACAAACAAAAAAAACACCCUGAUUUUUAUAAUUGGAGACAAGGAUAAUUGUCAUCCUUAAAGAAAAUCUAAACAUAAUGCACAUAGAAGUUUGUGAAAAUAAUGCUGGGGUUGAGUCGGGGCACAUUUGGAAUGAGUGCCUCUGGCUUUAGUAAGUGCAUAGUGCAGUAAUUACAUGGAAAACGUACCACAGGGGAUUUGGUGGAAGUUAUUUUAAUAAGCCUUUAAUGAAACAUUUCUCAGGAACGGGUCAUUACUUUGGUGCAAGCAAGCAAGCAUAUCUUCUUUUGGAAUAAUGAAGCCUCAGAAGAUUUCCUGCUCAGCUCAACUCUGCAUGUUAAACUUCAGAGAUAAAUUGAGCCGCGACGUCCUCAUGAAGAGGGCAUUGUUAUAGUGGCGGUGCCCGAACACGUACUGUAGAUGUGUAGAUGCUGUAGCUUUCCUGAGAGAUUGACCAGUGGUGCCAUGUUCUGUUUAUUUGUGUCCUUAUAAAAACAAUCUUUGCCUCACAGGUGUGAUGGUCCCAAAUAUGGUCUCUGAGUCUUCUGGUCUUUUCCAGAAUUAGGCCUGCUGAGCCCCGUCAUGAGUACUUUAAUGUGCC
This is an RNA transcript of Perca flavescens (yellow perch), 1936 nucleotides long. It is a transcript of the gene named AP-1 complex subunit sigma-2, with no coding region annotated. The record is from RefSeq and is a predicted model, not a curated record. The transcript has 6 exons. Lineage: Eukaryota; Metazoa; Chordata; Actinopteri; Perciformes; Percidae.